RNAcentral lists this ribosomal RNA (91 nucleotides) under uncultured bacterium. Its description in RNAcentral is "partial 16S ribosomal RNA". The record is from RNAcentral.
UUAAACUCCUGUCAGAUGGAAAGAAAAGCUUGCGUUUAAUAGACGCAAAGUAUGACGGUACCAUCAGAGGAAGCACCGGCUAACUUCGUGC